UGAUGACCUGGGGCUGGGUGGGCCUCUGAGA
RNAcentral lists this non-coding RNA (31 nucleotides) under Homo sapiens (human). Lineage: Eukaryota; Metazoa; Chordata; Mammalia; Primates; Hominidae. The record is from RNAcentral.